AUACGUAGGUGACAAGCGUUAUCCGGAUUUACUGGGCGUAAAGGGCGUGUAGGCGGUCUUGCAAGUCAGAAGUGAAAUUCCUGAGCUCAACUCGGGCGCUGCUUCUGAAACUGCAGGACUUGUGUGCUGGAGGGGAUAGCGGAAUUCCUAGUGGAGCGGUAAAAUGCGCAGAUAUUAGGAAGAACACCGGUGGCGAAGGCGGCUAUCUGGACAGUAACUGACGCUGAGGCGCGAAAGCGUGGGGAGCAAACAGGAUUAGAUACCCUGGUAGUCCACGCCGUAAACGAUGAUUACUAGGUGUUGGUUGUCAUAGACAAUCGGUGCCGCAGCAAACGCAAUAAGUAAUCCACCUGGGGAGUACGUUCGCAAGAAUGAAACUCAAAUGAAUUGACGGGG
This 396-nucleotide ribosomal RNA is filed under the name uncultured bacterium. RNAcentral's name for it is "partial 16S ribosomal RNA". It matches the Rfam family "Bacterial small subunit ribosomal RNA", at positions 523 to 918 of the family's 1533-position model. The record is from RNAcentral.